Molecule: ribosomal RNA, 292 nt
Filed under: uncultured Acetobacteraceae bacterium
Lineage: Bacteria; Pseudomonadati; Pseudomonadota; Alphaproteobacteria; Acetobacterales; Acetobacteraceae
Description: partial 16S ribosomal RNA
Rfam family: Bacterial small subunit ribosomal RNA
Source: RNAcentral
GUGCCAGCCGCCGCGGUAAUACGAAGGGGGCAAGCGUUGCUCGGAAUAACUGGGCGUAAAGGGCGCGUAGGCGGUUAAAAUAGUUAGAUGUGAAAUCCCUGAGCUUAACUUAGGAACUGCAUUUAAUACGUUUUAACUAGAGUACAAGAGAGGAUUAUGGAAUUUCCAGUGUAGAGGUGAAAUUCGUAGAUAUUGCAAAGAACACCAGUUGCGAAGGCGAUAAUCUGGCUUGAUACUGACGCUGAGGCGCGAAAGCGUGGGGAGCAAACAGGAUUAGAAACCCUUGUAGUCC